UGGGGAAUUUUCCGCAAUGGGGGCAACCCUGACGGAGCAACGCCGCGUGGGGGAGGAAUGUCUGUGGAUUGUAAACCUCUUUUCUCAGGGAAGAAGAUUCUGACGGUACCUGAGGAAUCAGCAUCGGCUAACUCCGUGCCAGCAGCCGCGGUAAGACGGAGGAUGCAAGCGUUAUCCGGAAUUAUUGGGCGUAAAGCGUCCGUAGGCGGCCUGAUAAGUCUGCUGUUAAAGCUCACAGCUCAACUGUGAAUCGGCAGUGGAAACUAUCAAGCUAGAGCGUGGUAGGGGUAGAGGGAAUUCCUAGUGUAGCGGUGAAAUGCGUAGAUAUUAGGAAGAACACCAGUGGCGAAGGCGCUCUACUGGGCCAUGACUGACGCUGAUGGACGAAAGCUAGGGGAGCGAAAGGGAUUAGAUACCCCUGUAGUCC
Molecule: ribosomal RNA, 427 nt
Filed under: uncultured prokaryote
Description: bacterial SSU rRNA
Rfam family: Bacterial small subunit ribosomal RNA
Source: RNAcentral